RNAcentral lists this long non-coding RNA (947 nucleotides) under Brassica rapa (field mustard). Its description in RNAcentral is "long non-coding RNA (BRAP_LNC003560)". Lineage: Eukaryota; Viridiplantae; Streptophyta; Magnoliopsida; Brassicales; Brassicaceae. The record is from RNAcentral.
UCGUGAAGAACCUCUACGAACUAUUAUCUACGAAACACUCUCUAGACUUACGCUAGGAGAUUUUUUACUGUUGUUUACGGUGUGUUUUUUUUUUUAAUGAAUGAAGAGAGUCGGGUUUACUUAAAGAGAAGAACGACAGGUUUAUUUAAAGAGAAGAACGAGAGACACUUCCCGCAAUAGUUGCUGCACGUGGGCGGAAAUUAGAUCACGAGAAGUUGAGUUUCGAAAACGUAUUCCCAAGACUCUCUUAUCUCGUUUAAAAAAUUCGAGAGGAUAAAAUGUAUGACGUUUUUAUUUUAUAGACAAACUAUACUUGCGUUCUUAUUAGGCCGGAAGCCUUCCACCAAGAUCCAAGCCCAAGCCGAACUAGCCGGACAUCGGCGGCACGCAUGGGGAGCUCUCUCUUCCUCAGAGCCAUUUAAUCUAUUGUAAGUGUGUAGACUAAUAUAUACUGCUCGUUUUUGCCUCAUGUGACGGAUGUGGGAUGUUUCUAAAUCCCUUCAUUAAAGUCAUUAAAGGGUUUUGUAAUUACACCCCAUGCCCAUUUCUUUUCAUCAUUUGCCAAUAUUUAUUAAAGCCAUUGGGCUUAAUUAAUUUGUCCAACAAGAACUGAAUAUCAAUAUCACUUAUCUUUUUCUGAUUUGGUUGAAUUUUAAAUAACGUAAACUAGACCUGCGCAAGGCGCAGGGUAAAAGUAUAAAUAUAAUUUUUCUACCGUAGUUCAAAGAAAAAAUAAUAAUUUUAUUUACAUUUUAGUUAGUAAAUACGGUUUUGUAUUAUCAGACUUGUGAAUUAGGUACAACCCGUAACAUAUUUUUGGGCUUUUUAGUUAUGUUAGUGUCAGAUUUACUACCUAGUUGUGUAUAUAUAUGUUUACGAAGUUUUUUUUUUUUUUUUUGAAAAAGGGCGUUAUAUAUGUUUACGAAGUUUUACCCUAACAAAGUAAA